AUGCUUUACAGAAAUGCCAGAAUGCAUUCUUGGGAAAUCAAGCCAAGUACAGUUCAGUUUUUUCUAUGUUUUUAUUUUUCUGCUUCUUCCCAGGGGAAUUCUACCAGAAGCCUUCUUUGUCCUUCCGGCCACUACUGCCCCUCUGGCACUGGCUAUCCACUCCCCUGCCCCACAGGAUCUCUCUCCAUCUCCUGGGGACUGAAGGGUGCUGAUGAAUGCCCCCCAUGCCCCCCUGGACUGUUUUGUGACAGGCCUGCAAUAGCAGAGCUCUCAGAUGCUCUCCCAUGUCAUGCUGGGUAUGUUUGCUUGGGUGGCAGUUCCAGUCCCACCCCGUCUGACAGUUCCCAUGGCUACCUCUGUCCCGCUGGCUAUAGCUGUCCUGUUGGCUCAGCAAGUGAGGCGCCCUGUGAGCCUGGCACUUAUAGUCCUGCCCCUGGAGCAGCCCACUGUAUAACAUGCCCUAAAGGGACUAUGUGCUCCUCCUCAGCCACUCAAGAGCCCUCUGUCUGCCCGGCUGGUGAGGAUGGUGAAAAUAAACUACAGUUUACAGUAUAUACCACAUAAUUCAACCUUUCUACAUAUAGCAGCAAUACUCGCCACUGGUUAAAUGUCAAAUUCUGCGGUCAUGAUAAACUGAUAUUUAAUAAAAGCUCUCUUCGUAGGUCAUUUAUGUCCUGCUGGGACAGCCCUGCCUCAGCCGUGCCCUUCAGGGACUUUCAGCAACCAGACAGGAGCCCACUCUCUCUCUGUCUGCACUCCCUGUACCUCUGGAUCCUACUGUAGCUCACAUGGAGCCUCAGCACCACAAGGUGACCAGAUGCAAAGAUAAUUAUUUCAGUCACACGUUAAACCAUUUAUUCAGACAGGUGAAUUAAUGGUGUCAUUCUAUUUUUUUUCUAGGUCCUUGUUUACAGGGUUAUUUCUGUCAAGGUGGAGCCACAGAGCCAACACCCCACAGCUAUGACAACUUCCCCAGGAAUGGCCCUUGCCCUGUGGGCCACUACUGUCCAGCAGGGUGCCUCUACCCAAUUCCAUGCCCUCUUGGCAGCAUACGCAACACCACUGGUACACUGACUGUUUACACAAAUCAUGAAAUGGCAUUUUCUGUCACAUCACCCUGUGAUAUCCAGUAGUCGAUGUAGUAGAAAAGUGCAUUUACUCACGUACUGUUCAGAUCAGCUCAAACUUAAAUAUCUUCCGCAGUAAAUGCAGC
Molecule: long non-coding RNA, 1213 nt
Filed under: Sparus aurata (gilthead seabream)
Lineage: Eukaryota; Metazoa; Chordata; Actinopteri; Spariformes; Sparidae
Description: lncRNA (ENSSAUG00010016303.1)
Source: RNAcentral